This is a long non-coding RNA of Drosophila sulfurigaster albostrigata, 685 nucleotides long. RefSeq lists it as uncharacterized. The transcript has 3 exons. The record is from RefSeq and is a predicted model, not a curated record. Lineage: Eukaryota; Metazoa; Arthropoda; Insecta; Diptera; Drosophilidae.
UAAAGUUGGCUUAGAAUUUUGUAUCUCUUUUCCGUUCAAUUGAAAUAAUGUAGAUAAUCAUAUUGGUUGCGUUUAAUUUUGUAGUCAAGCACAUCCAUAAAAGGUCAAAUUUAUUAACACGUAAUGGUAAUAUUCAAGAAUGUCCACUAAAAAGUAGCCACAUCAUCUGCAACUCCAACAACAGCCGAAUCGAUGAAGACAUGUCUGUGUCAACGCUUCAAUAGCGAAUUUUAUUUGAAAAGCGGACAAUAUAGCUGAAACACUGACCUAGUUUUCGGCACAACAGGGUUUAUUGCACAUCUUCCCUUUUUCCUCUAAUAUUAACAAUUUGUUCAGACAUCGUCGUAAAACCUUUCCCUUCCAAUAUAGCGAUGGACUGAGCCACAGACAUUCGUGUGCCAGGCUCAGCAUAUCAAAAUCACCUAGAUUUUUCCUCGAAAGAAUCAUAAAUGCGUUCUCGUCUAACUGUGCGUUAUUUGAAGGUAAUCUAGAUUGUAGUCAGUUGGGCUAAUGCAACUCAACAAUUUCUGGUAGAGCCCUUACAAAACAAAUGUUCAGAACAGUGACUGAGCAGAAUCCUGAAUUUAAGAAUUUAAGCAGUGGACACUUUACUGAACAAACUCUCGAAAAGUUAUUACGUGACAUAUCACCCAAUAUAUUAUAGAGUAUUUGACCAUUAGCAGGA